UACGUAGGUGGCAAGCGUUGUCCGGAUUUACUGGGCGUAAAGGGCGUGCAGGCGGUCUGUUAAGUGCAGGGUGAAAGCUCCCGGCUCAACUGGGAGAGGUCCUUGCAUACUGGCGGACUUGAGGGGGGUAGAGGAAAGUGGAAUUCCCGGUGUAGUGGUGAUAUGCGUAGAUAUCGGGAGGAACACCUGUGGCGAAGGCGGCUUUCUGGGCCCUACCUGACGCUGAGACGCGAAGGCUAGGGGAGCAAACGGG
Molecule: ribosomal RNA, 253 nt
Filed under: uncultured bacterium
Lineage: Bacteria
Description: partial 16S ribosomal RNA
Rfam family: Bacterial small subunit ribosomal RNA
Source: RNAcentral